Molecule: ribosomal RNA, 301 nt
Filed under: uncultured bacterium
Lineage: Bacteria
Description: partial 16S ribosomal RNA
Rfam family: Bacterial small subunit ribosomal RNA
Source: RNAcentral
CAGUCGCCGCGGGAAUACGUAGGGUGCAAGCGUUAAUCGGAAUUACUGGGCGUAAAGCGUGCGCAGGCGGUUUGUUAAGACAGAUGUGAAAUCCCCGGGCUCAACCUGGGAACUGCAUUUGUGACUGGCAGGCUAGAGUAUGGCAGAGGGGGGUGGAAUUCCGCGUGUAGCAGUGAAAUGCGUAGAUAUGCGGAGGAACACCGAUGGCGAAGGCAGCCCCUGGGCCAAUACUGACGCUCAUGCACGAAAGCGUGGGGAGCAAACAGGAUUAGAUACCCGGGUAGUCCCUGUCUCUUAUACC